ACGCUCGACACCUACGGGAGACAGCAGUGGGGAAUAUUGCACAAUGGGGGAAACCCUGAUGCAGCGACGCCGCGUGAGUGAAGAAGUAUUUCGGUAUGUAAAGCUCUAUCAGCAGGGAAGAAGAUGACGGUACCUGAGUAAGAAGCCCCGGCUAACUACGUGCCGGCAGCCGGGUAAUCUGAGCGGGCUGGCAAGGC
RNAcentral lists this ribosomal RNA (197 nucleotides) under uncultured bacterium. Its description in RNAcentral is "partial 16S ribosomal RNA". It matches the Rfam family "Bacterial small subunit ribosomal RNA", at positions 328 to 539 of the family's 1533-position model. The record is from RNAcentral.